Molecule: unclassified non-coding RNA, 318 nt
Filed under: Ceratobasidium sp.
Lineage: Eukaryota; Fungi; Basidiomycota; Agaricomycetes; Cantharellales; Ceratobasidiaceae
Description: partial contains 5.8S ribosomal RNA, internal transcribed spacer 2, and large subunit ribosomal RNA
Source: RNAcentral
CGCACCUUGCGCUCCUUGGUAUUCCUCGGAGCAUGCCUGUUUGAGUAUCAUGAAAUCUUCAAAACAAAUCUUUCGUUCGAUCGAUCGACUUUGUUUUGGACUUGGGGGCUUGCAGAUUCACGUCUGCUCCUCUUAAAUUCAUUAGCUGGAUCUCAGUGAGCUCGGUUCCACUCGGCGUGAUAAGUAUAUCACUCGCUGAGGACACUGUUAAAAAGGUGGCCGGGAUCGCGGAUUGAACCGCUUCUAAUGGUCUAUUAGCUUAGACAAAUCCAUUUAUGAUCUGAUCUCAAAUCAGGUAGGACUACCCGCUGAACUUAA